AUUUAUUUAAUACAAUAAGUAUAUUUGACUUCCAAUCAAAAAAUUUGUGUAAAACAAAAUAAAUA
This 65-nucleotide transfer RNA is filed under the name Salganea incerta. RNAcentral's name for it is "tRNA-Gly". Lineage: Eukaryota; Metazoa; Arthropoda; Insecta; Blattodea; Blaberidae. The record is from RNAcentral.